UACGUAGGGGGCAAGCGUUAUCCGGAUUUACUGGGUGUAAAGGGAGCGUAGACGGCGUAUCAAGUCUGAUGUGAAAUGCGGAUGCUUAACAUCCGAACUGCAUUGGAAACUGGUAUGCUUGAGUGCCGGAGAGGUAAGCGGAAUUCCUAGUGUAGCGGUGAAAUGCGUAGAUAUUAGGAGGAACACCAGUGGCGAAGGCGGCUUACUGGACGGUAACUGACGUUGAGGCUCGAAAGCGUGGGGAG
Molecule: ribosomal RNA, 245 nt
Filed under: uncultured Blautia sp.
Lineage: Bacteria; Bacillati; Bacillota; Clostridia; Lachnospirales; Lachnospiraceae
Description: partial 16S ribosomal RNA
Rfam family: Bacterial small subunit ribosomal RNA
Source: RNAcentral